Molecule: ribosomal RNA, 429 nt
Filed under: Actinomycetes bacterium
Lineage: Bacteria; Bacillati; Actinomycetota; Actinomycetes
Description: Actinobacteria bacterium partial 16S ribosomal RNA
Rfam family: Bacterial small subunit ribosomal RNA
Source: RNAcentral
UAGGGAAUCUUCCGCAAUGGGCGAAAGCCUGACGGAGCAACGCCGCGUGAGUGAUGAAGGUCUUCGGAUCGUAAAACUCUGUUAUUAGGGAAGAACAAAUGUGUAAGUAACUAUGCACGUCUUGACGGUACCUAAUCAGAAAGCCACGGCUAACUACGUGCCAGCAGCCGCGGUAAUACGUAGGUGGCAAGCGUUAUCCGGAAUUAUUGGGCGUAAAGCGCGCGUAGGCGGUUUUUUAAGUCUGAUGUGAAAGCCCACGGCUCAACCGUGGAGGGUCAUUGGAAGCUGGAAAACUUGAGUGCAGAAGAGGAAAGUGGAAUUCCAUGUGUAGCGGUGAAAUGCGCAGAGAUAUGGAGGAACACCAGUGGCGAAGGCGACUUUCUGGUCUGUAACUGACGCUGAUGUGCGAAAGCGUGGGGAUCAAACAGG